GUGCCAGCCGCCGCGGUAAUACGGGGGGAGCAAGCGUUGUUCGGAUUUACUGGGCGUAAAGGGCGGGUAGGCGGCCACUGCAAGUCGGUUGUGAAAUCUCCGGGCUUAACUCGGAAAGGUCAAUCGAUACUGCAGGGCUAGAGUGCAGAAGGGGCAACUGGAAUUCUCGGUGUAGCGGUGAAAUGCGUAGAUAUCGAGAGGAACACCUGCGGCGAAGGCGGGUUGCUGGGCUGACACUGACGCUGAACUGCGAAAGCUAGGGGAGCGAACGGGAUUAGAUACCCGAGUAGUCC
Molecule: ribosomal RNA, 293 nt
Filed under: uncultured bacterium
Lineage: Bacteria
Description: partial 16S ribosomal RNA
Rfam family: Bacterial small subunit ribosomal RNA
Source: RNAcentral